GUGUCAGCAGCCGCGGUAAUACGUAGGUGGCAAGCGUUGUCCGGAAUUAUUGGGCGUAAAGCGCGCGCAGGCGGUCUUUUAAGUCUGAUGUGAAAGCCCCCGGCUCAACCGGGGAGGGUCAUUGGAAACUGGAGGACUUGAGUACAGAAGAGGAGAGUGGAAUUCCACGUGUAGCGGUGAAAUGCGUAGAGAUGUGGAGGAACACCAGUGGCGAAGGCGACUCUCUGGUCUGUAACUGACGCUGAGGCGCGAAAGCGUGGGGAGCGAACAGGAUUAGAUACCCUGGUAGUCCACGCCGUAAACGAUGAGUGCUAAGUGUUAGAGGGUUUCCGCCCUUUAGUGCUGCAGCUAACGCAUUAAGCACUCCGCCUGGGGAGUACGGUCGCAAGACUGAA
This 395-nucleotide ribosomal RNA is filed under the name uncultured bacterium. RNAcentral's name for it is "bacterial SSU rRNA". It matches the Rfam family "Bacterial small subunit ribosomal RNA", at positions 505 to 898 of the family's 1533-position model. The record is from RNAcentral.